CCUACGGGUGGCAGCAGUGGGGAAUAUUGCGCAAUGGGCGAAAGCCUGACGCAGCGACGCCGCGUGAGGGAUGAAGGUCUUCGGAUCGUAAACCUCUGUUUGCAGGGAAGAACGGUCACUGUGCUAAUCAGCAGUGAAUUGACGGUACCUGCAAAGGACGCACCGGUUAACUCCGUGCCAGCCGCCGCGGGAAUACGGAGGGUGCGUGCGGUAAUCGGAAUUACUGGGAGUAAAGCGCUCGUAGGUGGUAUGUCAAGUCAAGGGGGAAAUCCCCGCGCUCAACGUGGGAACUGCCUCUGAAACUGGCAGACUGGAGUGUGUGAGAGGAAAGUGGAAGUCCAGGUGUAGGGGUGAAAUGCGUAGAUAUCUGGAAGAACAGCAGUGGCGAAGGCGACUAACUGGCACAUAACUGACGCUGAGGAGCGAAAGCGUGGGUAGCAAACAGGAUUAGAUACCCGUGUAGUC
Molecule: ribosomal RNA, 465 nt
Filed under: uncultured bacterium
Lineage: Bacteria
Description: partial 16S ribosomal RNA
Rfam family: Bacterial small subunit ribosomal RNA
Source: RNAcentral